AACGAACGCUGGCGGCAUGCCUAACACAUGCAAGUCGAACGAGACCCCUGACUUCGGUUGGCGGGUCUAGUGGCGCACGGGUGCGUAACGCGUGGGAAUCUGCCCUUGGGUUCGGAAUAAACUCAGAGAAAUUUGAGCUAAUACCGGAUGAUGACGAAAGUCCAAAGAUUUAUCGCCCAGGGAUGAGCCCGCGUAAGAUUAGCUUGUUGGUGGGGUAAUGGCCUACCAAGGCGACGAUCUUUAGCUGGUCUGAGAGGAUGAUCAGCCACACUGGGACUGAGACACGGCCCAGACUCCUACGGGAGGCAGCAGUGGGGAAUAUUGGACAAUGGGCGCAAGCCUGAUCCAGCAAUGCCGCGUGAGUGAUGAAGGCCUUAGGGUUGUAAAGCUCUUUUACCAGGGAUGAUAAUGACAGUACCUGGAGAAUAAGCUCCGGCUAACUCCGUG
Molecule: ribosomal RNA, 447 nt
Filed under: uncultured bacterium
Lineage: Bacteria
Description: bacterial SSU rRNA
Rfam family: Bacterial small subunit ribosomal RNA
Source: RNAcentral